RNAcentral lists this transfer RNA (72 nucleotides) under Caudoviricetes sp. RNAcentral's name for it is "tRNA-Met". It matches the Rfam family "tRNA". From Rfam's summary of the family: Transfer RNA (tRNA) molecules are approximately 80 nucleotides in length. Their secondary structure includes four short double-helical elements and three loops (D, anti-codon, and T loops). The record is from RNAcentral. Lineage: Duplodnaviria; Heunggongvirae; Uroviricota; Caudoviricetes.
GGACUAUUAGUUCAUUGGUAGAACAAUCGUCUCAUAAGCGAAGAGUAAUAGGUUCGAUUCCUAUAUAGUCCA